Molecule: ribosomal RNA, 433 nt
Filed under: uncultured bacterium
Lineage: Bacteria
Description: partial 16S ribosomal RNA
Rfam family: Bacterial small subunit ribosomal RNA
Source: RNAcentral
GAUGAACGCUGGCGGUAUGCUUAACACAUGCAAGUCGAACGGACUCUUCGGAGUUAGUGGCGGACGGGUGAGUAACGCGUGAGAAUCUGGCUUUGGGUUCGGGACAACCACUGGAAACGGUGGCUAAUACCGGAUGUGCCGAGAGGUAAAAGAGAAAUUGCCUGAAGAUGAGCUCGCGUCUGAUUAGCUAGUUGGUGAGGUAAAGGCUCACCAAGGCAGCGAUCAGUAGCUGGUCUGAGAGGAUGACCAGCCACACUGGGACUGAGACACGGCCCAGACUCCUACGGGAGGCAGCAGGGGGGAAUUUUCCGCAAUGGGCGAAAGCCUGACGGAGCAAUACCGCGUGAGGGAAGAAGGCUCUUGGGUUGUAAACCUCUUUUCUUAGGGAAGAACAAAAUGACGGUACCUAAGGAAUCGGCAUCGGCUAACUCCG